This 246-nucleotide ribosomal RNA is filed under the name uncultured Parachlamydiaceae bacterium. Its description in RNAcentral is "partial 16S ribosomal RNA". It matches the Rfam family "Bacterial small subunit ribosomal RNA", at positions 796 to 1041 of the family's 1533-position model. Lineage: Bacteria; Pseudomonadati; Chlamydiota; Chlamydiia; Parachlamydiales; Parachlamydiaceae. The record is from RNAcentral.
CUUGCUGUAAACGAUGUAUACUUGGUGUAACUGGACUCAACCCUAGUUGUGCCGUAGCUAACGCGUUAAGUAUACCGCCUGAGGAGUACAGUCGCAAGGCUGAAACUCAAAAGAAUUGACGGGGACCCGCACAAGCAGUGGAGCAUGUGGUUUAAUUCGAUGCUACGCGAAGAACCUUACCCAGGCUUGACAUGCAGUAGACCGGUCUAGAAAUAGGCCUUUCCUUCGGGACUGCUGCACAGGUGC